Molecule: non-coding RNA, 29 nt
Filed under: Rattus norvegicus (Norway rat)
Lineage: Eukaryota; Metazoa; Chordata; Mammalia; Rodentia; Muridae
Source: RNAcentral
UAGAAAGCCAAAGGUCCCUGAAACAGUGC